This is a long non-coding RNA of Pyrgilauda ruficollis (rufous-necked snowfinch), 6210 nucleotides long. RefSeq lists it as uncharacterized. The record is from RefSeq and is a predicted model, not a curated record. The transcript has 9 exons. NCBI's taxonomy places the organism in Eukaryota, Metazoa, Chordata, Aves, Passeriformes, Passeridae.
GGUGGCAAGGAGCAGUCACUCCUGAGGGGCAGCCCUUCCUGACUGCAGCACGCUGCACAUGUGUGCUUUGUCAGAGGCUGGAAAAGUUCACCGCCAUGGAAAGGAAAUCUAUUAAACGUGCCUCCUGGAGGUAUGGGAGGCUCUCGGCAAGCCUCCCGGGACAGGGGGAAUCUGGAAAAAAGAGAGAGAGAUGCUCGGGUGUGCCACCACCAGCCUUUGCAGAAGCGGCGCGCCAAGCCUUCCCGCGGGGCGUUUCUGCAGCGGCGGCGGUGUCCCGGCCGCGGGUCUGAAGAUGUGCGUGGGACUGGAUGCAUCUGCUGGAACAGACUAUAUUACUCCUGUUUCAUGUGCCCUGGCAAAUCUGAGAGGCUCAUCCCAAGUCCAGCUGCUGAGCCUUUGGAAAGCAGGGAUGCAUCUUGGCAGUGUGUCUCACCACGGCAUGGAUAUUUUCCUGGACCAGCCACAGGAAUGGUCACAGCGUCCUCCACUAAACUCUAGUGUGGAGGAUGGCUAUUGCCACCCACACACUUCCUGCAAUUUCUGCUUAAACACAGUGAUCUUUACUUGCUGCCUGCGGUUGGCCUCAGGGAACCGUCCCAGGCAGGCCAUGCUUGCAGUGAUGUGAAGAAAGGACAGGUUUUGGCAGAGAGACCUCCAAGUGCGCAUGCUGAAGUGGUGGCUGGUCAGAAACAACACCAAAGCUCAGAUGAAAUCAAGGACUUGGAGAUUUUGCAUCCUGCCCCUGCUGCAUCUGUCCUACCAGAGUGUUUUGGGGAAGCUGAUGAGCCAGCCAAUGUCGUGGACAUAGGAAAAAGUACAACAUCUCCAGUGCCCUCUUAUGUACCCUGAAGAUUUUGUACUGGGUGGCAGUCCCUCCAGAGGGAUGUGCACAGGCCACCUGGAUGGCCAGCUCCAUCAUUUUUACUUGUCUCCCCUGUGUGCUCUUCAGACUGACAGUCCCUUUCACCCUGCUCUCUGCACCUCCCUCCCUGCUUGAUGGGAAGGUUGUUCCUCAGGUGCUGGAGUUCAUUCCUGUGUGUGGAACACUGUUCAGCAGAGGAAGCUGUGGGAGGGCCAUCCCAGCUGGAUGAAGUCAUCUUGGAGCAUGGGUGCGGUGGUGAAAGACACACACAGUGAAUUUACAUCUCUUGGAUAAAGGGAGAAACUGAAGAAAGAUUUCCCCUGUGAGCUGGCUUUUAUCGUCAGUGUGAACAUCUUAGUCAGCACAAGCUCAGACUUCUAAAAUUGUGCAGCCGUGUGCUGGGAAAGCUACAGCCCCUGCAGCUUCCUCCUUCCCUGGACCAGCCAAGGGUAAAGGCUCCAGGAUCUGGUGCUCCUCUGGCAGGAAUGGCUGAGCCCAGGCCAGAUGGAUUGGUAUCUUUCAUCCAGAGCACCAUCAAGAGUAAAGAAAAAUUGUAUGGUGAUCAUGGGAAGUCUGAUUGGGAAGCGUGUGAUGGAGGACAUAAAGUUUUAAACUUCAAGGAACCCUUUGAAAUCCCAGGGUUUCCACUUGCUGCCUGGUCACUGUUUCCAUCAGCUGGCCCUUUACCAGACUCCUGGGAAGAUGUCACCUGGCAAUCACAUGCCCCACAGGUUCCCUGAGGUUCAUGCUCUUCCUUGCAGAGCCUUGCAAAGCUUGCAGGAUGGUUUUGGCUGGCUGAAGAGCAGUAGGAGUUGCUUUCUCCUCAUCUUCCUCUCCAGGCUACAUUUCCUGCUAAUACAGGCAGCUCCCUCCUGUGCUGAGAGUAGUUUCCGUGGAGUCAGGAAAUACGAGAAGCAGAGAAGUGGGAAACUCUGGAUCCACUAGACAAGCCUCGACUCUCCUUGGGGGCCUGAAUGUGUGCAAAAGCUGUGGGUGGUCUGAAUUUUGGGUGCUUGAGCAGGAGGCUUUGGAUGUUGGUGUGGAUAUCCAAGUUGCUUUGAGAAUACUUUAGGCUGAAUGAGAAGUGAAUUCCCUAAAUCUCUCCCCUAGGGUCUCAUUGACUUUCAGCAAAAUCGUCCCUCAGAGGCCACUCAGCAUCUUCAUUCAUGGAGUUCUCAGCGAUGCUCUGCUGUCGAGUUCCCUUUGAAAAGGUUUUUGUGCUGUAAUCUGCUGGCUGGUUACUCAACUGGUGCAGCUUACAGACCUCCCCUGGUUGUUGCACGUCUUUUAAUUUUUAAGGGUUUAUUUCAGCUACUUUGUGAAGUGUAAGGAAAUGGGUGAUCAGCAAAAUUCUUCCCAGUAUUUUGGAAGCAUUAGUAAAUGUUGACUAAAGGGCAAUUGCACUGUUGUUUUCAUGGGAACUGUGAAAUAAAGACUGCUAGAUUAGGUGCAAUCCUGAUCUUAAAGUCACAAUUCUUACACAAUGUUUUUUGCACUCUGGUGCAAAAACUCGUAUGUGAGAAUGUGUGCUAGCAAUGAGCCAAGUAAUUCAGCACUGCAGGAAUCCCACCAGCUUCAUCUCCAAGCUGGUAAUGAACAUGGGCCUGGACACGUCCAACUGAUGUGUUUGCCUGCAGAAAUUAUCUACGUACAGUCAAUGACAGUAGCGUCCUUCAGAUGUUGGGUUUGAUGCAGUGAGCAUACGUGACACUUCUGCUUUGCUUCCUCUUCUUGCUGUGCCCUGGACUUAGCUGUGCUCUGCUUUCUGUAAUCUAGCCGGAGACACCCUGUUCCUGGGAAAAGGCACCCUGGGCCUGGAAAAAGGCGAGCUGGGCAGCUGUGUUGGAGAACUUGUGUCAGCCUCCAGCAGCUAGCUGAUCCCCUGUGCCUUGCUGCUCUUUUGCAUGGCUUCAGUACCUGAGCCGGUGUGUUUCCAGCUGGCAGAGGUGUGCCUGAGCAGGGCUGAACAGCAACUGCUUGGAGGACCAGAGUGGUGUGGUUGGAGCAGAGGUGCUUGCUGACGUAGCUGACUAGAUGAACUGGUUGACUGGUUAAAUACUGGUGGGAAAAGAACUUGCAAAGCUGCUUUGCAGAAGUGGGUGGGUCUCAGCCACAUCCUCACUGGCUUUGGUAUUUGUCCUCAAGCCUGAUUUCCAUUUUCUGUACACCCUUUGCUUUCUGCUCUCCUUCUUUUUUGCCAGGAGAUGUCGGCCAGUAGGUUGUGGCAGCCUGUCAGAAGUGACUGGAGAUAUUUGCUGGAUGAACAAAGCCUAUCCACUCCCUGUCCAUCCUGACAAAGACACAGAAGGCAUGGGGCACUCAGUCACCGUCCUGUUGCUCGUCUUUCAAACUGCAGGAGAUGAAUGGCAAUGUCACCUCAGGACACACCACCCUGGAGGCAUUGCCAUGAGAGUCAUGGCAACAUCUCAGCAGGUGGUUUUCAGAAAUCCUCAGACCAAAGCAAACACUGCCACUGAAAAAUGUUGCAAUUCAGCCCAGUUUUGAGGGAAGUGCCCCUGAUAACUUCUCAGCUCCAAAGAGAAGCAGUGGAGGCUGGGGCCACCGAGUCUCCAUGGAAAUCACAGAGGGUCUCACCAGGUCCAGCCCAAAGGAGAUGAGCGGGUUUGAGCUGUGUUUGCACUGUCUGGCCAGGAAGAGAGGACUCAUCUCUGCCACAAAGCUCUCAGAGUGGUUUGUGCUGAAGUGGGAUCCCAGAUCUGGGAUCUACCCAAGAGCUACAUCAUACUGUCUUAGAGAUAGGAAAGCUUCAUAAAGGAAGACUUUGAAUCAGGAGUCCGCUGUGCAUUGCAACAUUUAUCGCUGUGAUUCACAUACCUCCAGUGUUACUGCAAAUCCAGGCAAAGUGUGAAAUGAUUCUCUUCUCCUAUCUUUGAGGAAAUGCAAUGUGCUCCAACCAUGCUGACUCUGAAAGUCAGUUCUAACCUGCUUUGAGCCGCAGAAAUUGUCAGGAUUUUUGAAAAAGCUCAACAAACCUCCACACCACAAUCUAGCCAAUUAAUUUUGAAGUGCUUUGGGAACAACUCAGGUUUCUUUCUUUUCAUCUUAUGCAGCUCCAUAGAAACCCUUGGAGUUCUGCAGGUACAUACCAAGUUAUGAAGGAGCUGGAGGCACUAAGAGAGCUGGAACAUGAUUAACAACUGUCAAAUUACAGGGAACACUCUAAAAUCCCUUAAACCUCUCCUCCCCUCCCCUACUUCAUCCUGGCAACUAGGACAAGAGCCUUUGGCUAGGCUGUCUUUCCCUGAGGCAGUCCCUUCACCUGAGGGAGGAGAUGAUCUGAAACCACAGGCAAGGGUUCAAAAACAUCAUGACAAAAUCCAAUGUCAUGGAAAAAAAGGUGAGAGACUGGAUGAGCUGUAGCACAGGGGAUCAUGUGUAUGCCAUCACAGAGUCCUCAGACUUUCAUCAUAACCACAGCUUCACUGCCAGAUAAACCACCUGCUUUUGUAUUCACAAUUGCAAAAUGUCUCUGCAGCAGCUCUGGCAAUUGCUCAGAGAGGAAAGAAAUAUUUUUCUUGCAUCCUUAGUAUAGCAGGUGUUUAUACAAAUUAAAAAAUAUAUUAAUUCUGCAUUUUAUUUUGGCCCUUUGCUAUAUCCCUGCUCUGUGUCUGAAAUGUUUUCUUCACCAAAGAGACAAGCAGAGGCAGUCAGCUCUUUACAGACAGUGUUUUUAGGUUUAUCAAUGUUAAGGUUGUUUUCUUGUACACAUUUCAGUACUGUUUUUUGGUUUAGAUAGCAUGGGAUACUUUGUUGCCCUGCUGUCUUUAGCAGAAAAACUUAACAAGUUUGUUUCACUCCUGUUUGCCAUGGAGGGCUCAAUCCCAGAGAAAACUGUAGAAGAAACUCAGUUAAUCGAAGGUUAAACAAAAUGAAUGAAGUUUGUGUGGCGCCCUGAAGGUUAUUAGACUCAAGGUCUGAGCAGCUGCCAAGGGGAGUGAGUUCCAGGUCAGGAGCAUUCAUCUGAGAAAUUCCAGUUGCUGAUGUGGAGGGGUUGAACCUGGGAGCUGCAGGCGCCUCCCAGCUGAGCUCGGCUGCCAUGGCUGCCAUGUGGGUAGGACCCCUGUCCCCUCCCACACUCCUGGUCCAGAGAGCAAAUGGAUGGGAGGGCCUGCCCCACUCUGUGGGAGGGCAAUAGGGACUUGCCAAUUGUUCCAGAUGCCUGGCUGCUUCCAUUACCAGUAUGGAGGGAGCAGGGAGCUCUAAAAUCACAAAGAGAGGCAAUUCCUAGGUGUCAGGGCUGAUAAAAGGGCUCAUGGAGCUACAAGGCAAGUCUGGAAGUGGCACCGAGUCAAGGGGUGCAGCAAGCAAUGCAGUGUGACCAGCGGCCAGCUGUGUGUCCUCUGAGCUGUUCUCCAUCCACACAUCUUUGCCUCCCUAUCAGAGUGAUGCUCUGGAGUGGCAGCUGGUUUAUCUUCCUCUUCAGUCCAAGGAAUUGAAAUCACAGGGUAUGGAUGCAAGAUGGAAACAGACAGGCAAAGUGUUGUGAUGUCCUUUCAACUUCCAAGUGUCUUCCUAGUGGCUCUUUCUGUGAUAUAGAAGAAUUUUGACUAAAUAGUCAUUCAGUGGAAACUAUAAAAGCAAAGAUAGAGAUGUAUCUGGGUACACCUGCACUCUUAUUCGUGAAUGUUAAGCAGCAUGUUAAACCUUCCUAUACAUCAGUUUGUGUAUCUCUGCAGCAGUCUCGAUAUUUUAUUCCUCAUUUGUGCCAUAAUUGCAGGAGUCCUUAAUGCCAAGGUAGACACUGAUCUCACUGCAUGUCAGAAUUACAAAAUAUAUGAGAGAGCUGGAAUAAUAAGAAUGUGUAUUUUCUGAAAAAGUAGAAGGUUUCUGGAGGAGGAGUUCUCCCAAAGGGAGCUAAGCUUACAGAUCUAACUCAUUCAGGCCUUUUUCCUUCUGAAGUUGACACACACAUGCACAAACACACUGGCUCCAGUAUCUAUUUCACGGACACAUUCUUCCCAUCUCACUGUGUAAAGGUCUUGAAAGCAAUAGCUACUGGCAGUACCCCAAUUCAACAUAUCUAAUAGGUCCUUCCCAGUUUCAAAAUCACUAAGGACACACAUGGCCAAAUGAAAGCAGGGCUUAAACUACCUUGCUGUCAGAAGCAAUGGAACUAGCUGCCUGUCCUUGUGGGCUUGAUUUGUAGGUUCUUUGUUUUUGUAGUCUUGGUUUGCUGACUGCAUCUCAAGAACUGUGUUGCUAGAGCAACUUAGUUAAUCUAACUCCUGGAAGUAACUCCAACUCCAACUGUUGAAUGCAGGAUUUUUCAAAAUCUAAUAAUACACUGCAGUGGGUUUUCAUUUUUUCCCAAAUUUUAUGGAUUAAUA